CAGUCGCCGCGGUAAUACGAAGGGGGCUAGCGUUGCUCGGAAUUACUGGGCGUAAAGGGAGCGUAGGCGGACAUUUAAGUCAGGGGUGAAAUCCCAGAGCUCAACUCUGGAACUGCCUUUGAUACUGGGUGUCUUGAGUGUGAUAGAGGUAUGUGGAACUCCGAGUGUAGAGGUGAAAUUCGUAGAUAUUUGGAAGAACACCAGUGGCGAAGGCGACAUACUGGAUCAUUACUGACGCUGAGGCUCGAAAGCGUGGGGAGCAAACAGGAUUAGAUACCCGUGUAGUCCCUGUCUAUUAUAA
RNAcentral lists this ribosomal RNA (301 nucleotides) under uncultured bacterium. Its description in RNAcentral is "partial 16S ribosomal RNA". It matches the Rfam family "Bacterial small subunit ribosomal RNA", at positions 509 to 809 of the family's 1533-position model. The record is from RNAcentral.